UACGGAGGAUGCAAACGUUAUCCGGAAUGAUUGGGCGUAAAGCGUCCGCAGGUGGCGAUGUAAGUCUGCUGUUAAAGAGUCUAGCUCAACUAGAUAAGAGCAGUGGAAACUACAUAGCUAGAGUACGUUCGGGGCAGAGGGAAUUCCUGGUGUAGCGGUGAAAUGCGUAGAGAUCAGGAAGAACACCAGUGGCGAAGGCGCUCUGCUAGGCCGUAACUGACACUGAGGGACGAAAGCUAGGGGAGCGAAUGGG
This 253-nucleotide ribosomal RNA is filed under the name uncultured bacterium. RNAcentral's name for it is "partial 16S ribosomal RNA". It matches the Rfam family "Bacterial small subunit ribosomal RNA", at positions 524 to 776 of the family's 1533-position model. The record is from RNAcentral.